UACAGAGGUCUCGAGCGUUGUUCGGAUUUACUGGGCGUAAAGGGAGCGUAGGCGGUUUGGUGUGUCGAAUGUGAAAGCCCGCAACUCAACUGCGGAAUGGCAUUCGAAACUACCAGGCUAGAGUACUGGAGAGGAGAGCGGAAUUCUUGGUGUAGCGGUGAAAUGCGUAGAUAUCAAGAGGAACACCGGUGGCGAAGGCGGCUCUCUGGACAGAUACUGACGCUGAGGCUCUAAAGUUAGGGGAGCAAACAGGAUUAGAUA
Molecule: ribosomal RNA, 261 nt
Filed under: uncultured prokaryote
Description: partial 16S ribosomal RNA
Rfam family: Bacterial small subunit ribosomal RNA
Source: RNAcentral